RNAcentral lists this non-coding RNA (218 nucleotides) under Oceanobacillus iheyensis. RNAcentral describes it as "T-box sequence". It matches the Rfam family "T-box leader". Rfam says of the family: Uncharged tRNA acts as the effector for transcription antitermination of genes in the T-box leader family. T-boxes are found upstream of many aminoacyl-tRNA synthetase genes and some amino acid biosynthetic genes usually in Gram-positive bacteria. Lineage: Bacteria; Bacillati; Bacillota; Bacilli; Caryophanales; Bacillaceae. The record is from RNAcentral.
GUAAAAGCAAUGAUAGAGACAGUAUAAAAGUAGAACCGAUCUAGCGAAUUGAGGAUGGUGUGAGCUCAGUGCGGAAAGCUUUUAGAAAAUCACUCUUGAGUUUUCAUUACGAAACAAGUAGUAAUGGACGGUUCAUCUCCGUUAUCGAUCUUAAAGUGAAUGUAAUGGAUCAACAUUAGAUUUAUAAGGGUGGUACCGCGAGUCUUCUCGUCCCUUUU